RNAcentral lists this ribosomal RNA (722 nucleotides) under Actinomycetes bacterium. Its description in RNAcentral is "bacterial SSU rRNA". It matches the Rfam family "Bacterial small subunit ribosomal RNA", at positions 90 to 825 of the family's 1533-position model. Lineage: Bacteria; Bacillati; Actinomycetota; Actinomycetes. The record is from RNAcentral.
GAUUAGUGGCGAACGGGUGAGUAACACGUGGGCAAUCUGCCCUUCACUCUGGGACAAGCCCUGGAAACGGGGUCUAAUACCGGAUACGACACGGGGUCGCAUGACCUCCGUGUGGAAAGCUCCGGCGGUGAAGGAUGAGCCCGCGGCCUAUCAGCUUGUUGGUGGGGUGAUGGCCUACCAAGGCGACGACGGGUAGCCGGCCUGAGAGGGCGACCGGCCACACUGGGACUGAGACACGGCCCAGACUCCUACGGGAGGCAGCAGUGGGGAAUAUUGCACAAUGGGCGAAAGCCUGAUGCAGCGACGCCGCGUGAGGGAUGACGGCCUUCGGGUUGUAAACCUCUUUCAGCAGGGAAGAAGCGAGAGUGACGGUACCUGCAGAAGAAGCGCCGGCUAACUACGUGCCAGCAGCCGCGGUAAUACGUAGGGCGCAAGCGUUGUCCGGAAUUAUUGGGCGUAAAGAGCUCGUAGGCGGCUUGUCGCGUCGGAUGUGAAAGCCCGGGGCUUAACCCCGGGUCUGCAUUCGAUACGGGCAGGCUAGAGUUCGGUAGGGGAGAUCGGAAUUCCUGGUGUAGCGGUGAAAUGCGCAGAUAUCAGGAGGAACACCGGUGGCGAAGGCGGAUCUCUGGGCCGAUACUGACGCUGAGGAGCGAAAGCGUGGGGAGCGAACAGGAUUAGAUACCCUGGUAGUCCACGCCGUAAACGUUGGGAACUAGGUGUGG